Molecule: RNase P RNA, 388 nt
Filed under: Leuconostoc mesenteroides
Lineage: Bacteria; Bacillati; Bacillota; Bacilli; Lactobacillales; Lactobacillaceae
Also listed under: 3 other names
Description: RNaseP_bact_a
Rfam family: Bacterial RNase P class B
About the family: Ribonuclease P (RNase P) is a ubiquitous endoribonuclease, found in archaea, bacteria and eukarya as well as chloroplasts and mitochondria. Its best characterised activity is the generation of mature 5'-ends of tRNAs by cleaving the 5'-leader elements of precursor-tRNAs. Cellular RNase Ps are ribonucleoproteins.
Source: RNAcentral
UGCAAGUAUCGGGUAAUUGCGCGUUAUAUUUCUAACGUGAGGAAGGUCCAUGCUCGUACACUCUGAGAUGGGUGUAGUGUUUGUGCUGGGAUAAAAAAUAAACCCAGGAACAGUGAUGUUACGGCAGUCGAAAGGGCUAAGGCUUAGGCUAUGUCUGAAUAGGCUCGAAGGUGCCAUAGAAACGUAUAUGCUAGUGAAAGCUAGUAUUUGAGACGAGGUAAACCCCACAAACGGGCAACCCAAACUUUUGGUAGGGGCGGCUGGCCUAGUGAAAUGAAGCGAUGGUCGGUAUGGUUCGUUUGAACGAACUUAGAUAGAUGAUUACCGAAGGUGUAAUGUUACCUGCAUUACACUGGAACAAAACAUGGCCUAUAGAUACUUGUAACAG